Molecule: small nucleolar RNA, 133 nt
Organism: Solea solea (common sole)
Lineage: Eukaryota; Metazoa; Chordata; Actinopteri; Pleuronectiformes; Soleidae
Product: small nucleolar RNA SNORA31
Exons: 1
Source: RefSeq, a predicted model, not a curated record
UUGCAUCCACUGAUAGACCUGAGGCAAACUUCACUUGCCUCUGUGUUUGCAUAGUGAUGCUACACUGAAAUUUCCUCGCGCUUUCUGACUGCUACGUUGUAUAGCAUCACAGAUUGAAUUGAGGAAUACAUGU